Molecule: transfer RNA, 65 nt
Filed under: Cercodemas anceps
Lineage: Eukaryota; Metazoa; Echinodermata; Holothuroidea; Dendrochirotida; Cucumariidae
Description: tRNA-Cys
Rfam family: tRNA
About the family: Transfer RNA (tRNA) molecules are approximately 80 nucleotides in length.
Source: RNAcentral
GGUUCUGUAGUGUUUCAGCACAUUUGAUUGCAAAUCAAAAAGUACUUAAUAAAAAGUCAAAACCU